CGCGGGGUGGAGCAGCCCGGUAGCGCGUCAGGCUCAUAACCUGAAGGCCGCAGGUUCAAAUCCUGCCCGUGCCC
RNAcentral lists this transfer RNA (74 nucleotides) under Rhizobium azibense. RNAcentral's name for it is "tRNA-Met". It matches the Rfam family "tRNA". From Rfam's summary of the family: Transfer RNA (tRNA) molecules are approximately 80 nucleotides in length. Their secondary structure includes four short double-helical elements and three loops (D, anti-codon, and T loops). Further hydrogen bonds mediate the characteristic L-shaped molecular structure. tRNAs have two regions of fundamental functional importance: the anti-codon, which is responsible for specific mRNA codon recognition, and the 3' end, to which the tRNAs corresponding amino acid is attached (by aminoacyl-tRNA synthetases). tRNAs cope with the degeneracy of the genetic code in two manners: having more than one tRNA (with a specific anti-codon) for a particular amino acid; and 'wobble' base-pairing, i.e. permitting non-standard base-pairing at the 3rd anti-codon position. Lineage: Bacteria; Pseudomonadati; Pseudomonadota; Alphaproteobacteria; Hyphomicrobiales; Rhizobiaceae. The record is from RNAcentral.